Long non-coding RNA from Callithrix jacchus (white-tufted-ear marmoset), 17739 nucleotides. RefSeq lists it as uncharacterized. The record is from RefSeq and is a predicted model, not a curated record. Lineage: Eukaryota; Metazoa; Chordata; Mammalia; Primates; Cebidae.
CAGAUCAGGAGGAAGUGAAUGUCGUUUUGAAUCUCUCCAGAAAGGUUUUACGACUGAAACAUUCAAAGAACAGAGAUAAUAUGCAUUUGACAGUGAUCUUAGAAACAUCUUAAAUAUCUUUUGACAUCUUCAGUUCAUGUUUCAGAAAAACCUUCGUUUCUCCAAUUAUAUCUGAUAAUGUGGUACAUUUGGUAAAUUACAGAGAAAACUAUGUGUUUUGCAAAACGCUUAUGUAUAAGAAUGAUAUGGCACCUGAUUUAGGCAUUUUUGUAAUAAAAUAAAAUGUGACCCCAACAUGUCGUAAUAAAAGAGCCGCUGAAAUAGACCCGAUGAUCUUGUCCCUGAGAAAUGCCCGAUUCAUCUUUUUCCUGAAGCAUCAGCAGAAGUGUGGUUUUCUUUUGUAAAAUUAACUCCAUGUUAAGAGUCUUUUCCCUUUAAAUUUCUUCCUGACAAUUAGUAAUUUGGGAGAUCAACCAGAGCCAUAAAAAUCUCUAUGCAUUUAGAUGUAACCAUCGCUUUUAUUCCUUUUGACUCUGAUGCCUGGAGUAAUGGUCAGGCCAAAAACAAUUAAGCAGAAUGUAGGUCAGUUCACCAGGUGAUAAAUUUACCCAUCUUUUGGAUCCUCACUGAAGUUUCUGAGGCUAACGCGAUGGCAGGUACUAUUCUGAGCAGAGAUGAAAGAAAAGGAUCUUCAAAGAACGUGACUGCACAAUGCCUGGCGCUCAGCUUCAAGAGAAGCCUGCUGUCCCAGAAGCAGCUGGGAAACUCAGAGGCUCCAUCUGCCAACGUGGCUCUUUUUAAAAGCAGGAGGAGAGAAUGCGUAGUGGAAAAGACUGACUGAUUGUUGAGUUGGAUUGUUUUGUGGAGAGCACUGGCCUGGGAGUCAAGUGCUGGAUUCUAGACCCUGCCAGGCCCCUAAGCUGCUGUGUGUAUGUGGCCAGCAUUUUGCCUCUAUGGGGCUCAGUUUCCCUCAUCUACGAGGGUGUUAUUGAUCUUUCAGGUGUACUUCAUAGGUAUCCUGAUGGUCUAAGAAUCUGCAAUGCUUUCUAUUAGACGUUUAUGUUUCUCAGUAGGAUUGCAGGCAGAAUAUUGGCCUCCCAAAUAUGUUCCCCUCCUAAUACCUGGAACCUGUGAAUAUGUUUCCUUACAUGGUGGAAGGACUUUGCAGAUAUAAUUAGGGAUCUUGAGAUGGAGAGAUCACUCUGAAUUAUCCUGGGGGGACCAAUGUAAUUACAGGAGUCCUUAUAAGAGGGAAGCAAGAGUGUCAGGGUCAGAGAGAGAAGAGAUCUGAAGACACUGCCGCUGGCUUUGGAGAUAAAAAGCCAAUACGUGCAGCUGGCCUCUGGAAGCUGGAAAAGAUGGAAAAUGGAGUUUUAGAGAUGAAAAGAAACCUAGAGGGAAAGGCACGUGGGACCUGUGGCUGAAAAGAGGCUCUAGGAAUUCUGUGGCUGCCAGAGGGACGUUCCACCGGUGAGAGAAGACUGCUUCAGGUAAACGUGCGUGCAACUCCAGUGAACACACUGCACAUACUCCCCUCUCAAGUGCUGAGAGGCCACUGUGCACGUGGACAGCCCACCCCAGGGGAAGAAUCAGAAGAGGACACGAGACCCCAGAAGCAUGCCAGCAUGGAAAACUCAAGUCAGAAAGCUAUGGAGGAGCUCAUGUGUCUAGGAGCUGAAGACUGGACAGCAGCCAAUAAGGAACUGAAUUCUGUCAGCAACUAUCUGAGUGAGCUUUCAAGAAGCUCCAUUGGCACUGGGUGAAUCUUGAGGUGACUGCAGCCCCAUGAGAGCCACUGAGCCAGAACCACCCAGAGGAGCUGCUCCUAGAUUGCUCAGGAUGAAAAAAACCAAACCAAAACAAAGCAAAGCAGAACACAAACACAGCUUCUGGGAGUCAAGGAAAGAAGACAGCAAGGAUUAAAUGCACAUCACGUUGAGUGGAGGACCUGUCAGCUCAUGCCUGGAUGACUGUGGUGGUCCCUAUUCUUCUAUUGCCAUGAAGACAACUGCAACCACUUUUCCCUACUUUGAUGUCACCCCCUGGUGAGCUGCCAUACCGUGCAUGAGUUGUUCUGUCCAAGCUUUCGUGCCUGUGGAGCGCUGGUGACUCACAGAAUAAGGUACUCAGUGCCUGGCUUCUCUGGGUAACUUUAAGCUCCUGCGGGAUGUUGACUGUGCUCCAAUUUAUUUUUUAUUUGAGUUCUUCCUAAAUACUCAUUGAAAGAAUGACAUUGUGGAAAAGCUGAGUUGGAUUUUCUCUGGAGAUUUAACUAAUCCUUUACAAUGAUUAUUAGUGAUCAAGAUGCUUGAUUCUAUUGCUUGAGUGUAGAGAUGAUUGGCCAUGACCACAGGGCCCUUAGCUGAGUAAAGUUCUCCUCAUCCCCACAAAACAGAAGCCCUUGGCCAGGCUGAGUGCUUUGGUCCUGCAGGAUGAGUGGAUCUCACAGUGCAGCCUUGAGAGAGAGAUUCCAAGCUGUACUGGUCACGGCUCCCUUCCUUGCUAAGGUAGAGAACACUGUGCAUAUGUGCAGGUUUUACUCUUGGCUGGUAGGGCCUGGAAUUGUUAGCAAGUCCCAUGUCACACACAUGGAAUGCAACAUGUGCUUCCCCUCCAGCUGUGAGAUAAUGCAAAUAUCUUCAUAUUCCACUCAAGCUGUCAGACCCUGUAACUUCGAGAGGCUAGACCCAGACGGUGAGCUAAAAGUUCAUCCUUGCUCUUUUCUGCUAGAAAGCCCAGGGUAAGGUAUCACUUGCAUGUUCGAAAAGACAGAGAGGAGAAUUCAUGCAUGUAAAAUGCAUCAUAUAGUGCAGGCACAUAAUAGAUGCUCCAUAGAGGUCAUCUCACAUAGCCUUUGCAAUAACCUUGCCAAGUAAAUAUUCUCAUCGUCAUUUUAGGGGCAAAAAAGUCAAUACUCAGAGAGUUUAAAUAACUGUCCAUGUCAGUCAUGGUCCUGGCAGGAAAACCAAGACCCACUCCAAAGGGUUUAACAGAAGAAAGUUUAAUGAAGGGCACACUCUACAGAGGUGUAGGCAGGCUUACAGGCACUGUCUAAGGACAUAGAGACACGGGAUGAACUCCUGGGAGCUCUGAGUAGCCCUAGGCCUGAAGAGCCAAAGGCGGGAAUGUUUGCAGAGCCUGGGAGUGCAGGUGCUGUGGAAGAGGGAUGUAGCCUCAUCCAUUGGCCAAUGGGAAGGCCCAGGACAAGGAGUGCAGGUGUUCCUGUCUGUCUCUGGGGUUCAGCUUCUCAGGCAAGGCAGCAGGGAGGAUGGAUUUGGAGGUAGGUGGUGAUCUGAGAAUAACAAGAGCAUCUUCUAGUGUCACCAUCUAGUGGUACUGGGUGCAGGGGGUGCGUUUGUAGACAGCUAUGACUCUGAAGUCUUGCAGUCUUUGCUAAGACGAGAAGAGGAGAAAAUCCAUUCUCUUCUUCCCUGUAUCUCAACUUUUCCUUCUGUUUUUCCCUCCUUUUCUCCCUUCUUUCCUCACUCUUGCCCUUCACCCUCCGCCCAUGUUUCCUUCUUUCUUUUCCUCCCUUCCUCCCUCCCUCCCUUCUUUCCUUUCUCUCUUCCACCCUUACUCUGUCACAAAAUGUAAGGUGCUGGAACACAAAUAAAUAUGACCUGACUCCCUCCCUCGAGAUACUUACGGCAGCAUCAUGUUAGGAUGGAGCUUGUUCCAUUAAGGGCACUCUUGUUUAAAGCUCUGAGCACAAUGUUUUUUAAAAUUUCAUUGUUAAAAAGGUUCCAUAUGUGAAGUCCUUGGUGAUCUCCAAGGCAAGAGUACAACCUAAGUCUACCUCCUCUUUCUCUAGAGCCUUCGAGGGCUCGCACAUCAGAAGCUGCCUUGCUUCAGCUGACCAAGCCCCAAGCUUUUGCUGCUGCAUCCAUCCAUUUACUUUUCAAUGUGUUUUUCACUCUGCUUUGUAACCCGGAGGACUUAGGUCUUUAUGUUGACAUAUUUUGGGAGCACUUACUCCUGAGAGUUUUCUUGGGAAAAUGGGGUGCUUGGGACAAAGCCUUAUCACCAGCUCCCUGCUGUCUUGGCCAGGGAGACCCUUGGCAGAUAAGAGCAGGGUCAGAGUCAGAAUUCCCCCUUGGCCUUCCUGCUUCCUUGUGUUCUGAGCCAGGGUAAAACACUUCUUUCUUUUUCUGCACCUUCAUUUAUAAAAGAGACAUAAUGGCCCCUUUUCCUUGGAACAGGAGUGAUGGAGGCUUCUGUGCAUUUCCAAAGUACUUGGAACUCUCCCCUGGCUGCCCGGCUCCUCACUUGGUACGUGGAGAGUCAGGUCAGGCUAUUGUGCUGUUGAUUGUGCUCCUUGUUCACAGAGCACAUCCACUUCAGGCCGCUGCGCACACUCACCAUUCUCCUCGGUAUUAUUGACUUAAGUACUCUUCAAGGAGAAUUUCUCCAAGGCUCCCGUGUUGACACCCUGCUAGCGUUUUGAGAGCCAGACUUGCUAGCUGUUUGUUGCUUUGGAUGAAAGCCUGCAAUCGCUCUAUUAAACAUUCCCCAUUCAAUGGGGAAGAAGAAGGAGAAGCCUAUCUGCUGCAGAAGGAAUUGGAUUUUUCUACAGUGCAGGUUGCUAUGGGAAGCAUUCCAGUGCUGGGUCAAGCUUGCCAGGCAACUCAGGGCAGGGUACUGGGUUGUAGUGACUCAAUGUCUCUCCCUCUCUCUGGUCUGCCCAGCAAAAGCAUUUGGCCUAAGGACUUACUUACCUUCUCUAACUCUAUGCCACUGUUUCCCACAUCAGUUCUUGCCUCUUGCCUUGUUGCCAGAGAAACCUGUGGAACGAAGGAAGCUUGGAGAUCUGGAGAUCGAGAGAGCAUCUCACAUGCUUCAUGGGGAGGAAGGACUGAUAUUGGAGUGAAUGGAAUCUAGACUUCUGUGUGUAUCAGGGUAAAGCAGCAAUGCUUUUUUCUGGCAGACCAAGGGCAUCCUUGACAGGCAGCCCAGGGAGAUAGAACAGGCACCUGUCAAAGAAUUAGUAAACAUGGAUUCAUUAAUCUGGACUUUUGUCCAGAGACAGUUUUGUGACUUUGGACAAAUCACUAAACAUUUCCAGAGCCCAGUGUCUUCAGUUAUAAAAAUGAGAGAUGAAUAUCAAUGUCACAGCCCUCCUUACCUAGAAGGCAGGAAGACUCCAGAAGCUGAACAACUCUGUAGUAGGCCCAGCACUUUCCCUAAGAUUUUUCCAAGUAUUUGAAAGGUGAUACGGUGGGGAGCCUUAUUCUCCAGUCAAAGUCCUCUCUCCGGCCAGAAGGCUUUUUCUUUCAUGAAACACAGAUAGGAGUUUCAAUUCUAUAAAUAUAUAUUGAGAAUGCAGUAUACGAAAGUCUCAGAAAUGGCUAUGAAACAAAAUUGCUUCUAAGAGCACAUGGCUGUACAAGGCACGUGCCUCCUGGUUUGUUUUAAUGAUGUUAAAAUUCAUCAUUAAAACAAAGAAUAUACUAUCUUGGACAUUUGUGAGUGUAGUUUAAGUUCUGUAGUGGUACAUAGAUUCGCAUUGUUGUGUUAGCCAAUCUCCAGAACUCUUUUCAUCUUGUAAAAUGGAAACUCUGUACCCAUGAAACAACUGCCCUUUCCCCCUCCCUCAGCCCCUGUUCUGCUUCCUGUCUCUCUGAGUGUGGCAACUCUAGGGACUUCAUGCAGUGAUACCACACAGCAUGGUUGUCCCGUAUUAUCCACGGUUUUGCUUUCUGCAGGUUCACUUACCCUCAGUCAACUGAGGUACAAACAUAUUAAAUGAAAAAUUCCAGAAAUAAACAAUUCAGUCCCUGUGCAAUGGCUCAUACUGUAAUCCCAACACUUUGGAAGGCUGAGGUGGGCAGAUUGCUUGAGGCCAGGAGUUUAAGACCAGCCUGGGUAAUAUAGGGAGACCCCACCCUGUCUGUAUUAAAAAAAAAAUUUUUUUUCUAAGUUUUAAACUGCACACCCUUCUGAAUAGUGUGAGGAAAUCUAGUACCAUCCUAUUCUGUCUGGCUUGAGACAUGAAUCCUCCCUGUGUCCAGUAUCUUCACACUGUACACUUACAUAUGUAUAGGAACAAAACAGUAUAUAUAGUGAUAUGGCCUGGCUCUGUGUCCCCACCCAAAUCUCAUCUUGGAUUGUUAUCUGAAUUAUAUUCCCCACAGGUUGGGGGAGGGACCUUGUGGGACAUAAUUAGGUAAUGGGGCAGUCCCCUUAAGCUGUUCUCUUGAUAGUGAAUGAGUUCUCAUGAGAUCUGAUGGUUUUAUAAGGGGCUUUUCCCCUCUUUGCUCUGUACUUUUUCUAACUGCCAUCAUGUGAAGAAGGACGUGUUUGCUUCUGCUUCCACCAUGACUAUAAGUUUCCUGAGGGCUCCCCAGCCAUGCUGAACUGUGAGUCAAUUAAACCUCUUUCCUUUAUAAAUUACUCAGUCUUGGGUAUGUCUUUAUUAGCAGGGUGAGAGUGGACUAACACAUAUGGAGUUAGUACUAUCUACUGUUUCAGGUAUCCACCGGAGGUCUUGGAAUGUAACCAGGAGGAUAAGGGGGAUCACUGUAUUUGUCUUUCUGGGACUGGCCUAUUUUACUGAGCAUAAUGUACUUCCAAUUCAUCCAUGUCAUAGCCUAUUUCAGGACUUCCCCUUUACAAUGGUGCAAUCCUAUUUAUUAUGUUGUAGCAUGUUUCCCAUUCACAAAGGCAUUCCUACUUUUCUUUCUUCCACACUCCUUUUCUCUGCAUUGCAGUCGGGAGUGGUUAUUGCCCCUGGUCUACAGCUAAGGAAACAAGCCUCAAGGCUGCAAGAUCACAUAGAGAGCCUGGGACCAGAACAUGGCCUCGGGUCACUGGGUCCAGCACACUUUCCCUGAAGGUCAACUGCACGUACAAAGCCCUCGCUGAACUUGGUGGUAGUUCACAGGGCAUAGGCAAAGCAAAGACGUCCAGGGGUCGGAAGACUCCACCCGGGCAGAGAGAACAGAUCCAGCAGCAAGUCAGUGACAGGACAGAAGUGGAGGGAAGGCCAGGUGGCAGACCCCAGCUCUGGUCUCAGUCCAGGUAGUUGGCCCUGCUCACCCUGGCCUCUCACUGUCUCCAGAUAUAGGAAAUAGGAUUUCCAGGCUAGUCUCAGGAGUUGGGUGAGGGCAAAGUGCUGCAGGGCUGACCAGCCCUAACAAGGUGAAUCCUCCAGAUUGUUCCUCAGUGAUUAGAGCAGCCAUCCAGGAGGGACGGGUAAUGAAGUAGGGAUCUGAAAUAUGCAGUGGUGGCUGCGGGCAAGCUGCCUGUGAUUGCUGCCAGUGGGAGCCAGGAGCUUUAAUGAACUGAGUGAACUCCCUUCCCUUGGAAGAUUCAUACUUUGGGAGUCUUGCUGGAGUGGUAGGGCCUACCUCUGAAGCUGGCAUCUUACCUCUCCUAGCAUUUCUGGCUAACCCACCAGUCAGUUCUGAAGAGUAGACCUUGUGCUUGGAAGAGCUCACCACCCUUCCUGAGCUCUAGCUGCUUUUUGGUUGCCCCUGGCAGUGGUAAUGCUCCUACACCUAAAACAGCUAAAUAAACCACACCACAGACAUUUAAGUCACAUUCUCUGGGACCUGGGCUUGGUCAGAGCAGGAAAUAAGCAGUGGUUUGCUGCCUUUGAUUCCCACUGGGAAACUGCCUCCUACACUACUCAACUCUAUCCUCUCAUUUGGGGACUGUUCUGGGACAUUUGCUAUUUGUCAUGGCUGGGGGCUGGGUUAUCCCAGUGAAUCAUAUAUUCUGGUUAAAGGUGAGCAAUUAGCUAUUCACAGAGCACAACUUUUCUUUUUCUUUUUUUUUGUUUGCCAAUCAGUUUGAGCUUAUGAGGUUGCUCAGGUUAGCCUUGAACUGAUGACCUCGCUUUCGCGAGUGCCAUGACCUCCGGCGGGAGCCACUUUGGACCCCCACAACUUUUCAAAAGACCUAGAAUGCUAGCAAACAUGCUGAACUGUAAGUUACAAGUAACAGAACCUAAUGUAACUUUUAAAACACUGAAGCCACUUUUAUUUCUUCAGGAGCAUCAAUAUGAACCUAAGCGCCCAAGAAUUGAGAAAACAUGCAAAUGCUAGUUAAUAGAAUGCUGGAUAAACAGCUUCUAAUGAAUUUCCCAUGUCUUGAUUCUGUCAUUUUUUUUUUUUUUGAAAAGGCACUGAGUAUGUUUGAAGAUGAUUAAGAUUGUGUAAACUAAUAAAGAAGGGUUGACUUUGGGGGCAACUUCAACCAAAUCUGCAUUCGACACGGAAUUCCCCUCUUUAAACUUUUCUGACGUUUUCCCCACUGUCUUUGCUUUGGUUUCGGGGGCUCACUACUCCAUUCUAUUUAGUAGUUUACUUUUGGAAAAUGUUUCUUUAUUCUCACCUUGGAAACCACAGGGAAUAAGUCCCAUCUUCGUGUUUUUAUAGAAUCAGAACAUUCUCAUAUCUGUGUUUCCAGUUUCCUUUUAGCUGAAACUGUCAGUUUCUGCAAACUUCCUCAAGUAUUUGCAGACCCCGUUUUGAAUGUUCCCUUGUUUGUGGGUGUUCCAAGGAGAAUUAUGAAGGCACACACGGUAAAUCUGAGACUGAAUGCCAUGAGACUAUCACCUCCAUCCUUCUGGAUUAUAUGCUUCUGUGAUAGUGCCUGUGAGCUCUUUCUGGGGCCAUAUUCCCUGAGUUCAAAUCCUCGCUCUGCUACUUUCUAUCUCUCAACCUUGAGCAAGCAACUAAACUCUUUAAUGCUCAGUUUCCUCAUCUAUGAAAGAGGUUAAUUAUAGUAUCAACCUCAUAGCCUCACAGGGUUAUGGCAAUUGAUGUCAUAUGUGUAAGUGCUUAGUGCAGACUUGGAACUUGGUAAAAACUCAAUCAGUGUAGCUGCUUGUAGAACAGCUGGCAUGAAAUCAGAUAAUGAAGGCUGACUGGCCAGGUUCACAUCCCAGAAUAGGUUUAAAAUUUGACCCACCAUCUAUGAGCUGAAUGGCCUUUUGUAAGUGGCUUAAAUGCUUUGUGCCCCAAUUUUCUUAUCUGUAAGAUGGAGAUAUAGGGUUUGUAUGAAGAUUCAAUGGAGCUGUUUUAUGUAAGAUACCUGAAACAGAGCCUGAAAAGUAAAAAGGGCAAAUGAGAACUGUUAUUAUUAUUAUUAUUAUUAUUAUAGCUUGGAAAUGCAUUUUAUUUUUUAAAGAAGUCACAUCCAAAAGUUGACUCAUAUUGGAGCUAUGGUCACCAACGUACUGGUUCCCAUGACCCCUCUUCAUUGUGCAUGGAGAAUUCUCAUCAUUUAUUGUGUGCAUGUGAGUGUGUGUUUGUGUGUGUGUGUGUGUGUGUGUGUGUGUGGCUCAAACUAUCCUCUUAGCAGAAUGUCUUGAACAUGUAAGUGCCUUUAGAAUAUUGGUCUUUGGAAUCACAUCUAUCUUUCCUUUGUGCUAUUUGAAAUCUGCUUUCCUUGAUUCUGGAUUAUUUGAUUGCAUACUUUUCUAGACUGUGCUUGAGAGCCACUGCUUCUGAAACUGCUUGGAUCCUUCCUGGUAGAACCAAACCCCUAUGACAUUGCACCCACCACUGUACCAUGUGUUUACAUAGCUUCACCCCUUGUUAGACUGUGCUAAUUGAUUUUUCUGUAUUUAUUAUGUCCAGGCCUGUUUUGGAAUAAAUGCUGUGCUUAACCUAGCCCAGAAUCCCCACCUGCAACAAAAGUGAUAAUGUUAGAGAAAUCUGUCUCAACUGAAACGUAUUUCCAAAAUGGUUAUUAUCAUUACUGCUAAAAUAGCAAAGUUACUUUUCCAAGUAACUUUCCAUUUUCUUUUCUGUAUCCCAGCUGGCAUUUCUUUCAAGAAAUUUCAGAAUUAAGUCAGCAAGAGAAAAGAGAGAUAGCUAUCUUUAUUUUUUCUAUCUUAUUACAGGUUAAGAGAUUCAAUUAUUCCUUAAAAUAAAAUACAAAUUUAUCCUUUGUUUUCAGCAAAGGGAGACUUACAUCAGAUGUGUAGAUUAAAUGAUUUCCAUUGCUCCUUUAUAUUGCAUUUAGGCCAGUUUUGUCACUGAGGGAAAGUAUUGAACUAGUUCUUCCUGUUGCCAUACCUGGCUCUAAUUUCCAACUGCAGCUUCUUCUUUAAAAUCAGGUUAAAAUAAUCAGAAGAAUUAUUUUAACCUAAUUUUUUUUUACCUGAAAUUGAAAUAUUAAGCAAAGACACCACAAACAAAGUCAAAAGCAAACAACUUGGAAGAAUAUCUACAGCAUAUAUUAUGGACAAAAAUGUUAGUAUCAAGUUAAUAAGACAAAGACAAAUACACCAGUGUAGAAAUGGGCGAAGAAUAUGAACAGGCAAUUCACAGAAGAAAUGCAUAUAUUCAGUCCACACUCAAAAGCUGCUCUAUUUUGUUAGUAAUCAAAGAAGUAGAGAUGUAAAAUGUAAUGAGUUUUUUUUAACCUAUCAACUGACAAGACUAAAAUGAAUAAAAAAGGCUAGUAUUAGUGUGGAGUUAGAAAACAGAAUUCUCUAGAAGUAGUUGAAGGGAACAUAAGCCUCAUGUAGCAUUUUACCAAUGUUCAGUGAGAGCUUUCAAAUGUUAGUACUUAAUACAAUUUUACUUUAGAAAUACAUUUGUAAGAAAAAAACCUGACAAUUGUGCAGAGUUAUAUGUAAAAGGCCUGACACAGGCCUUUAGUUUUGCAGGGUUUUCUCACUGGAUAUAAGAUUCAGGCCUAAAGUAACAAAGUUUUCAUGGGUGACUUGGCCAUGAAAAUAAUUUCAAAGGAAUGCUUGUCCUAGAAAUUUUGAGAGUUUGGAGUGUCAUACAAAUGUUUCCAAAUUGACUGAAAGAAAAGCCAAGUGUGAAGGUAUAUUCUGUUGUAGCCUUCAACAAAAGUUGCUCUCUGGAUACUUGGUAUAUUUAGUUGACCUAGAAAGUUGAAAGUAAAGAAAACAAGGAGAAGAAGAAGUAGUAUAAAGUAUAAAGCCACAGAGAAAGAGAAAAAAAAAACAACUUCUUUAUCAGAAUUAGGCUUGGCUUCAAGCAUUUAAAUUGUCAUGUCUAACAAUAUUGUGAAUAUCUCCUUUUGGGACUGAAUUAAAAAUUUUAAGGGACUAAUAUAAGAAGGUUUGGUAAUCUUUGGGAAUGAAGUCGUUAUUCUUUACGGCCAAAUCUAGGCUGGCAGGGAUGUGACUUUCUCUCCAGACUGUCCACUGCUGUAUGUGGUUUGGUCAGGUUGACUCACAGGUAACACAGUACUUGGCUGUGACACACAGUACUCCCCAUGACACACCUCAGAGCGUCAAUUGAUUUCUAUAUUUUUUGGCUCAUGGCCAAGAAAGUGGGGCACCCAUUCCACACUUCUGCAUGUUUUCCUUCCAAUUGUGAAUUGAUUCUGAUAAACAAGCCCUAUUUCAAGGCUUCUAGCAACAUUAGCCUCAAGAAAUGUGGUAGGUGAAAAGAACUGUGGUGUAACUAUUUCUAAUAGUCAAAUAUGUAAUCAUAAAAUAAUUUGGCUCAAAAUUAAGAACAUUCCCAUAAUGAAAAAUAUUUGAAUUAAAACAGAAGCGAAGAUAUUUCAGUCACGCCAUGUAGAUCCAGCCUUGUGCUGUGCCAAAAUCAGCAAAGUUGCCCAGAAGACCACACCUGUUAGGGCACAUGCAAUGACUGACAGAAAUAUUUGAAACCUCAGUUAAACACAGAUAAGAAUAGGUAAAGAGAUGACAGAAGAGCACCUGACAAAAUUUAACAACCAAUUAAAGAUAAAAACUCUUGGAAGAAUAAGAAUAGAAGAGAACUCAUAAAUCUGAAAAAGUGCAAAGCAAAAAACCUACAGAUAACAUCAUACUUACUGAAGAAUGCUUGAAGAUAUUACAUAUAGGAUAAGAAACAGGACAAAAACAUCUGCUUUAAUCACUUCUAUUCAACAUUAUGCUGGGAGCCUGGCCACGAUAAUAAAGAAAACAGACCAACAAACAAACAGAAUAUCCCCAAAGAAAGAAACAGUGUAAAAAUGUGAAAGGAAGAAAUAAAACUAUCUUUAGUUACAAAUGACAUGAUUGUAUACAUAGAAAAUUUUAAGUGAUCUACUAAACAACUACUAGAAAUAACAAUUUAUCAACUUUAUAGGAUAUAGAUACAAUAAAUGAAAAGCAAUUUGUUUUUGUAUGCUAAUAGCAAAAAAUCUGAAAAAUGGAAUAAAAACAAUUAAUAGCAUCAACACAUAAACUACUUAGGAAUAAACUUAACAAAAUUACAAAACAAUGCUAGGAAAAAUUUUUUAAAGGCUUAAAUUAAGAGAGAUAUAUCAUAUUAAUGGACUUUCUUUCUUGAUUCAAGAUUCAAUAUUGUUCAGAUAUCAGUUCUUCACAGACAUAGCUGGGCAUGGUAGCUCACACCUAUCAUCCCAGCACUUUGGGAGGCCAAGGCAGGAGGACUGCUUGAGACCAGGAGCUCAAGACUAGCCUGGGCAACAUAGUGAGAUCCUGUCUCUGCAAAAAAUUUUAAAGAGUUAGCUGAGCGUGAUGGCAUGUGCCUGUAGUCCCAGCUAAUUGGGAGGCUGAGGUGGGAGGAUUGUUUGAGCCCACUCAAGGCUGCAGUGAGCUAUGAUUGUGCUACAGCACUGCAGCCUGUGGGACUAAGCAAGACCCUGUCUUCCCCCUCAAUACUCCCACAAAAAACCCACAAAUGGAUUCAGUGCAUUCCAAAUCAAAAUCCUAGUUUUUUUAAAUAGAAAUUGAUAAACUGGUUUUAAAAUUCACAUAUAAAUACAAAUGAGCUAGAGUAGCCGAAACAACUUUGAAAAAUAAAGUUGAAAAACUUAGUACUAUCUGACUUCAGAUUUUUUUUGAAACUACAGUAAUUAUGAUAUUGGCAUCGAGAGGGACAAAUAGAUGAUUGGAAUAGAAAAUAAUACAGAAAUAGACCAGAACAUAUAUGGUCAACUGAUGUUUUGCAAAAAUGCCAAGCAAAUUAAGUGAAGAAUGAAGAGUUUUUUUUUCCAACAAAAGGUACUAGAAUAAUUGAAUAUUCAUAUGCAAAAAAAAUUAACUGAUCCAUACUUCACACCACAGACAAACAUGAACCCAAGAUGGAUCAUAGGCCUAAAUGCACAACUUAAAACUAUCAAACUUUUCUGGGAAAACCAUAAAAUGAAAUCUUUGUGACUUUGGUUUGGGAAAAUAUAUUUUUAGUUAUAGCAACAAAAGCCUAAUCCAUAAAAGAAAAAACUGACAAAUUGGGCUUCAUCAAGAUUAAAGAGUUCUGCUCUUGGAAAAACACUGUUCCCCAAGUGACAUACUUAAAGCAAAUGUUUACAAAUCACAUCUGAUAAAAGACUUACCCAGAACAUAUAACAAACUCUCAAAACUGAAAAAUAAAAAAUAAAAAAAAUAAAAAACAAAAGUGUGCAAAAGAUUUGAAAGCAUAUUUACCAAAGAAGAUACAGAAAGGGUGGGCACACACAGGACGAGCCAUCAUUAGCCACUAGAGGAAAGCAAAGUGAAACCGCGAUGAGAUACCACUUCAUGAGAAAGGCUGCAUGCAGUUAAAAACCAACGACGCUGAAUGUGAGCAAAAGUAUGGAGCAACUGGAAUUCUCAUGUAAAAUCACUUUGGAAAACUCUUUUGCAGAGAUUAAGCAUUUAAGUGAAACAUAUUCUUCCCCAGUGAUUCAGCAUUUCACUGCUAGAUACUAACUCAAGAAAAAUGAAGACAUUUAACCGUAAAAAGACUUAUACAAGAACAAUAUGUUAGCUUUACUCAUAAUACAAAUUGGAUACAACUCAAAUGCCCAUCAACAAUAGAAUGCCUGAACAAAUUGUGACAUACUCACAUGUUGGAACACUACUCAGUAGUCAAAAGAAAGAACAACAUCUACUUGUAACCACAUAGAUGAAUUUCAAAAAUAUGCUGAGCCUAAAAACAAGGCACAAGAGAUUCCACAUUGUAUAACUGAAAUUAUACAAAAUUCUAUAACAGGCAAACUAAUCCAUGGUGAUAGAGUAGUGGUUGCCUGUAGAGAGGAACUGACCAGAAAGAAGGAAAAGGGAAAUUCCUGGGGUGAUGGCAGUAUUUUUUAUCUUGACUGGGUGGUGGUUGCAUAAGUGUAUUGUAUAGUUUUGCCCAAACUCAUUGAAUUAUACAUUUAGGAUCUGUACCUUUCACUAUGCAUAAAAUGUAUGUUAAAAAGAAUAGUAAUGGACUCUAAAUACCUCCUUCCUAUGUCUUGCUUACAUUUUUUAUAAUGUAUUUUUGUGGUUGUUACCAGUGGUGGUCUUUUGACUUGAAGAAGAAACUCUUAAGAACAAACACUUAGUUGUGUGAACAAUUGCAUGUCCCAAUAUGGAGAGGAGUCAGUUGUGCACACCAGUCUCCUUUCAUGAUGGACACCUCUCAUUAUGCAUAGAGGGAGCAAAGUUGCUUGACAGUUACACUGCCAUCAAAGCAAAGGACAGAGCCAGUCAAGAGCUGAGGCUCUGGGCUCAAGCACAUGUGGUUUUGAAUCCUGGUUCCGGCAUUCUUCAGCCACUUGACUUUGGGCAAAUGACAGAGCUUCUUGUCGCCUUGGGUCCUCACCUGUAAAUGAGGACCACAAUGCCUGCCUCAUGGAGUAAUUAGGAGGUAAAUGACAAAGUGCUGCAGAUUGUCCACAUGGUGUCUGUUAAUGAGAUGAAUAAAAUGAGGCUUCUCCUUAGUAGAUAGGUAGUACUUUAGAGGAUUUGGGAUUUUGUUUAGAGAUCUGUCUGAAAGUCUCCAGAAAGAUUUACUUAGAAAUACUUUCUGCUAAACGAAUGAGUCGGUUUGUGAUAAAGAAAGAGACUUUGGUCCCUGGGUUCACACCUCUCACCUUUCCACAAGAUUAUUUUCACCGCUCACUCCCAACUUAAGCUCCUGGUCUCACCUCUACUUUACCUCCUUAAGCAGGAACAGGUUGUCAGGUUCUGGUUUCACACGGAAGCGAGGGAACGCUUUUAUUUAUUUUACGUAUCAUUUAGAUCUGGGUUACUUCAAGAAUGCUUAAGGCCUCCAGUGGAAAAGCAUGAAAACUUAGCAUCCACUUCAACUGGGUGUUGGGUGUCAGAGUCUGUGCCAUUUGAAGCUGUGCCAAUCUGAUACUCAAGGUGCACAAAUACAGCCAAUCAAAGAGGAUUCUUUAAAGGAGAUAAGUUUCUAGGAUGGCCCGAGUUGCAUCCUGAGCUAUACUAUGUCCUUCUCUGACCCCUGUCCCCAAGACAAGAUUUGGACAGCCUCUGGUUGAGUUACCACCUUUCACAGCUCAGAGAUCUGUGUGAUAUUGCAAGAGUCAUUUACCUUUCCAGGUAUCCACCAGACCGAUCUCAGAGUAGAACCCAAGUUGCUCACAACUCCCCUGCAUCACCAAGACUGGAGCCUAGCUGCCAGAGUCUUCUCUUUACUUGUCUGACUGGACAAAUUACAGUUUUUCCAGUCCCAGUUCCAGCCAGAGCAUCUGUGAUAUAAUACAGUGGACCAUACCCCUGUGGCCUUCUCUGAGGGUUCUGGAGCUCCAUAUUCUGGCUUCUCUGAAUGACCCCAGCACUUCCUCUCUGUUCCUCUUAUUGACGCACAUUCGGAGCUGGGGAGCACUUAAGUAGCCUGAUGUCCAGCAGAUCAGACUUCAAGUCCUGCCGUACUGGCCGUGUGACCUUGGGCCAGUUGAAACCUCUCAAUCUCUGGUUCUAUGAAAUUGCCGUCAUAACAGUACUUCUCUGUUUUCCUAAGGAUUUAAUGAGAUAACAUACCCAAGGGGCUGGUACUUAGUAAGCCCUUAACACAUGCCAGCAGUUAUUCUUACUGUAUUUACCAACUAUAAUAAUGUUUUGUAUUAUUCGCCAACUGUUGCCUCUAAUGAAAUCUUGAGUCCCAAAUUAGCUAUUUCUGUGAGGGUCAAGACAGCUUGUAUAGUCUUUUUAUCUAUCUCCCACCAUACCUAGGGUGAUGCCAGGGGUUGGGGGCAGUACUGACAACAACUGAGUAAGUGAUUAUAGGUGACUUGCUAUAUGACUUGCUAUGCCUCUCCGUAUACCAUAUGUAUAUACAUAUACCAUUGUAUUAGUCCAUUCUCACACUUCUAUAAAAAAUACCUGAGACUGGGUAAUUCACAAAGAAAAGAGGUUUAAUUGGCUCAUGGUUCCACAAGCUAUACAGGAAGCACAGUGGCUUCUGCUUCUGGGGAGGCCUCAGGAAGCUUCCAGUCAUGGCAGAAGGCAAAGAAGAAGCAGGCACAUCUCAUUACCAUGAGAUUUGGGUGGGGACACAGGUCGAAACCGUAUGAACUGUAUACAUACACAUACACAUAUACACGCACACAUAUACAUGCACAUAUACCUUACACUCAUGCUGCGAACAGGGGAUCUGACCUUAAUUAUUCUCAUAUCGCCAUGUUCUUUCCCCAGAACUUUCUUUGGAGUCACACUUUCCACAUGCAGAUGAAUAUUUAUAUGUAUGACCGACUUAUCUUACAAUUUUGUUUUCUUUAAGAAAACAUUUGCUUCUUCUCAGUAAGCCCAGGUUAAACCCUGUUGAGCUGUUAGUUGAUCCCUUUCUUUCUGAAAGAGGACAAAACAUCAAGGCAUUAGUUCACAGAUUACAGGGAUCUUCUUUAAAUCCUCCUAACUAGUUCAGUUUCAGUGUAUUUGCUACUGUGGAAAAGAUGGCAUCAUUCCUGAAGGGAACACAGAGAAUCGGGUGGCACGAAGACAAAAGCCCUCUGGAUUGCUGCAAGAAGUGUCCUCAGGUAACCGGGGCUCCUUUGUGAGAAAACGAGAAUGUCCUGGCUGCUGAAAACAACAGAAGGUGGCAUGGUUCAUGUCGGGCAAUUAGGUGACUUCAGCAGGUGCCGCAGGAAAGUUCCCCUGCUCUUGCUGGUCUGUGUAGGGCUUCCCUCUAACCUGCCUGUCCGGGGACUGGGAGAAGGGCUCCUGGGAGGAGGGUGAGGGGCCAUGAUGCCUGGACCUUGACCUCCUGUUGAUACCUUGUUCAGGCUGGAGCUAAGCCACAGACCCCACAGCCUUUAAGACCAAAUCCCUGCAGCAGAGCGGCUGGGACCCAUUACAUGCUUUUCAUAUCCUUUUGUAGGAGGCUGGGUGAGGGUGAGGGGACAGGAUGGAGAGCUCGUGACAACACCUCUUCUCUUUGGCCUCUUCAACACCACAGGCCACUAAGAGAUGCAAGAGACCAGGACCCAGAAUCCCGAGAUACAAAUCAAACACCCAAGAGUUCCCAGUGUCUGUUUUCUUCUGCCUAACCAUCGCUGGGGUCUCAGAGACAAAUCGGCUCCCUAGGACUCUUAUCCACCCACACUCUCCAGGAUUUUAGCUAUUACUUUUUAUUGACCUCUUGUGGUAGGUAGAAUGUUAUAUCACAAUUUGAGAUGUGCAAAAAGUAGAGGUUUUUAAACUUCAUUUUGCUAUUUAAUUUCUAUUUUGAGCCCCCCUUUAGCCAAAUGAUGAAAAUGUAGUCAGAUCAGGAUCCUCUUCUCUUUCUUCAGGGUCACUCACAUCUAUGCCCCAGCGGGUAGAUAGUAUUGAAAUGUAGAGGGUGUGCGGGGAGGAGGAGAGCAGGGUCAUCUGAACCUGGGUGUCAUCUUGGCUCUGUCCUGGCGGCUGCAGAGAGGCCCUUCAUCAUUCAGCUCUCUGCCGGGAUGCUUUUGUUUCUGACUUCUUCUUUGGGUUCUGUCUGCCUCUCUCCUUUCUCUUUCUCUCUGCUAUGCCUGCACCCUCUCGGGAACAGAAAACAUAUCACUGGCCCAGCAUACCCUCAGUGGGAGAGCUUCUGAGAGGCUGCCUCAAGCCCGCCCCCC